CCUAGGGUGGCUGCAGUGGUGAAUCUUUCCCCAUGGGCGCAAGCCUGAUGCAGCCAUGCCGCGUGUAUGAAGAAGGCCUUCUUUUUUUAAAGUACUUUCAGCGGGGAGGAAGGGAGUAAAGUUAAUACCUUUGCUCAUUGACGUUACCCGCAGAAGAAGCACCGGCUGACUCCGUGCCAGCAGCCGCGGUAAUACGGAGGGUGCAAGCGUUAAUCGGAAUUACUGGGCGUAAAGCGCACGCAGGCGGUUUGUUAAGUCAGAUGUGAAAUCCCCGGGCUCAACCUGGGAACUGCAUCUGAUACUGGCAAGCUUGAGUCUCGUAGAGGGGGGUAGAAUUCCAGGUGUAGCGGUGAAAUGCGUAGAGAUCUGGAGGAAUACCGGUGGCGAAGGCGGCCCCCUGGACGAAGACUGACGCUCAGGUGCGAAAGCGUGGGGAGCAAACAGGAUUAGAUACCCCCGUAGUC
Molecule: ribosomal RNA, 464 nt
Filed under: uncultured bacterium
Lineage: Bacteria
Description: partial 16S ribosomal RNA
Rfam family: Bacterial small subunit ribosomal RNA
Source: RNAcentral